RNAcentral lists this ribosomal RNA (497 nucleotides) under uncultured bacterium. RNAcentral describes it as "partial 16S ribosomal RNA". It matches the Rfam family "Bacterial small subunit ribosomal RNA", at positions 28 to 507 of the family's 1533-position model. The record is from RNAcentral.
GAUGAACGCUGGCGGCGUGCCUAAUACAUGCAAGUCGAGCGAACAGGCGAGGAGCUUGCUCCUCUGACGUUAGCGGCGGACAGGUGAGUAACACGUGGAUAACCUACCUAUAAGACUGGGAUAACUUCGGGAAACCGGAGCUAAUACCGGAUAAUAUAUUGAACCGCAUGGUUCAAUAGUGAAAGACGGUUUUGCUGUCACUUAUAGAUGGAUCCGCGCCGCAUUAGCUAGUUGGUAAGGUAACGGCUUACCAAGGCAACGAUGCGUAGCCGACCUGAGAGGGUGAUCGGCCACACUGGAACUGAGACACGGUCCAGACUCCUACGGGAGGCAGCAGUAGGGAAUCUUCCGCAAUGGGCGAAAGCCUGACGGAGCAACGCCGCGUGAGUGAUGAAGGUCUUCGGAUCGUAAAACUCUGUUAUUAGGGAAGAACAAAUGUGUAAGUAACUAUGCACGUCUUGACGGUACCUAAUCAGAAAGCCACGGCUAACUACGUG